GAUGAAGAACGCAGCGAAAUGCGAUACGUAAUGUGAAUUGCAGAAUUCAGUGAAUCAUCGAAUCUUUGAACGCACAUUGCGCCCCUUGGUAUUCCGAGGGGCAUGCCUGUUCGAGCGUCAUUAUAACCCCUCAAGCUCAGCUUGGUGUUGGGGCCUGCUGCACUGGCAGCCCUUAAAAUCAGUGGCGGCGCCAUCUGGCUCUAAGCGUAGUAAUUCUUCUCGCUAUGGAGUCCUGGUGGAUGCUUGCCAUCAACCCCCAAUUUUUCUAUGGUUGACCUCGGAUCAGGUAGGGAUACCCGCUGAACUUAAGCAUAUCAAUAAGCGGAGGA
RNAcentral lists this unclassified non-coding RNA (329 nucleotides) under soil metagenome. Its description in RNAcentral is "partial contains 5.8S ribosomal RNA, internal transcribed spacer 2, and large subunit ribosomal RNA". The stretch from base 1 to 120 matches the Rfam family "5.8S ribosomal RNA", at positions 35 to 154 of the family's 154-position model. The record is from RNAcentral.